This 116-nucleotide ribosomal RNA is filed under the name Zavarzinia compransoris. Lineage: Bacteria; Pseudomonadati; Pseudomonadota; Alphaproteobacteria; Rhodospirillales; Zavarziniaceae. The record is from RNAcentral.
CCUGGUGGUCUUAGCGAGGGCCCCAACACCCGAUCCCAUCUCGAACUCGGCCGUGAAAUCCCUCCGCGCCAAUGGUACUGCUGCUUAAGCAUCGGAAGAGUAGGUCGCUGCCAGGC